UGGCUCAGUUGGUAGAGCAUGGUGCUUGCAAUGCCAGGGUUGUGGGUUUGAUUCCCAU
Molecule: transfer RNA, 58 nt
Filed under: Oncorhynchus mykiss (rainbow trout)
Lineage: Eukaryota; Metazoa; Chordata; Actinopteri; Salmoniformes; Salmonidae
Also listed under: 2 other names
Rfam family: tRNA
About the family: Transfer RNA (tRNA) molecules are approximately 80 nucleotides in length. Their secondary structure includes four short double-helical elements and three loops (D, anti-codon, and T loops).
Source: Rfam by way of RNAcentral